RNAcentral lists this long non-coding RNA (898 nucleotides) under Prunus dulcis (almond). RNAcentral's name for it is "sRNA ncRNA". Lineage: Eukaryota; Viridiplantae; Streptophyta; Magnoliopsida; Rosales; Rosaceae. The record is from RNAcentral.
AAGGUCACUCGCAGCUGAUUGACCCUUUUUGCUAUGGACUCUGUUCAAGCACAUUUGGAGAUGCAGAUUGUUUUGCAUUAUGCAAAGCCAAACAAUUCGAAGACGGGAAUUGCAUUGUACAAACCCAGCAACUACAAUGUUGUUGCAGCCGCUAGAAAAAGACAGACACACAGGCACUGGAGGACCCAGAUUUUUUUAACGGAGGUGCAAUAUUGACUAAGUAUGAAAAAUAGUUUUUCGAAAUAAUAUAAACUUUUGUUUAAUGAAGUAGAAAUUGCUGGAUGUUUCUUGGUUCAAGGUUAAAUUAUUUCUUUUAAUUUCCCAACCACCACUGGCGGACCCAGAAUUUUUUUAACGGAGGUGCAAUAUUGACCAAGUAUGAAAAAUAGUUUUUAAAAAUAAUUAUUUUCUCAAUAUAAUUUUUGGCGGCUUUUAUUCCUUACACAUCAAAUAAGAAAAUUUAAUUUUAUGAGAUUUUAGUAUGAAGUAUAUAUUGACUUAAUGAGCCAUCAUUUUUAGCCUAAAUCGUAUUUUGCACUAAAACCGAUUUUUUAUAUUUUGAUUUGGUGGGAAUUUGAUUUUCUAGUAUUUUUAUUUGAAUCCAAAUGGGGGGUACUUUCUUAUUUACAUUGUAAACUUAAGUAAAUGAAGUAAUAUAAAAAUAAAUGAAAGUAAAAGGACAAAAACAUUUACUUAAAUGUUGAAAAUAGAAAUAAGGUAAUCUGUACACCAGUUAAGCAAAUGGACAAUUUGAAACACAUACAAUAAUUUUUCCGAUUAGAGAAAGUGCAGCUGCACCUCCUUGCGCCUUAAUAGAUCCGCCACUGCACACAGGCAAGAUUAAAUUGAUUAUUCGAGAAAAUAAAACUAUGGCCACACAUGAAUCAUGAUCUUCCUU